This 252-nucleotide ribosomal RNA is filed under the name uncultured Bacteroidales bacterium. Its description in RNAcentral is "partial 16S ribosomal RNA". It matches the Rfam family "Bacterial small subunit ribosomal RNA", at positions 524 to 776 of the family's 1533-position model. The record is from RNAcentral. Lineage: Bacteria; Pseudomonadati; Bacteroidota; Bacteroidia; Bacteroidales.
UACGGAGGAUGCGAGCGUUAUCCGGAUUUAUUGGGUUUAAAGGGUGCGCAGGCGGAUUUUUAAGUCAGCGGUCAAAUCGUGGGGCUCAACCCCAUCCAGCCGUUGAAACUGACGCCCUUGAGUGAGUGAGAAGUAAGCGGAAUGCGUGGUGUAGCGGUGAAAUGCAUAGAUAUCGCGCAGAACUCCGAUUGCGAAGGCAGCAUGCCGGCUCCACACUGACGCUGAGGCACGAAAGCGUGGGUAUCGAACAGG